RNAcentral lists this ribosomal RNA (594 nucleotides) under fungal sp. RNAcentral's name for it is "eukaryotic LSU rRNA". The stretch from base 73 to 594 matches the Rfam family "Eukaryotic large subunit ribosomal RNA", at positions 1 to 534 of the family's 3401-position model. The record is from RNAcentral. Lineage: Eukaryota; Fungi.
UUGCGUAGUAGCUAACACCUCGCAACUGGAGAGCGGCGCGGCCACGCCGUAAAACCCCCAACUUCUGAACGUUGACCUCGAAUCAGGUAGGAAUACCCGCUGAACUUAAGCAUAUCAAUAAGCGGAGGAAAAGAAACCAACAGGGAUUGCCCUAGUAACGGCGAGUGAAGCGGCAACAGCUCAAAUUUGAAAUCUGGCUCUCGGGCCCGAGUUGUAAUUUGUAGAGGAUGCUUUUGGUGAGGUGCCUUCCGAGUUCCCUGGAACGGGACGCCACAGAGGGUGAGAGCCCCGUCUGGUUGGACACCGAUCCUCUGUAAAGCUCCUUCGACGAGUCGAGUAGUUUGGGAAUGCUGCUCUAAAUGGGAGGUAUAUGUCUUCUAAAGCUAAAUACCGGCCAGAGACCGAUAGCGCACAAGUAGAGUGAUCGAAAGAUGAAAAGAACUUUGAAAAGAGAGUUAAAAAGUACGUGAAAUUGUUGAAAGGGAAGCGCUUGUGACCAGACUUGGGCUUGGUUGAUCAUCCAGGGUUCUCCCUGGUGCACUCUUCCGGCCCAGGCCAGCAUCAGUUCGCCCCGGGGGAAAAAGGCUUCGGGAA